Molecule: ribosomal RNA, 253 nt
Filed under: uncultured bacterium
Lineage: Bacteria
Description: partial 16S ribosomal RNA
Rfam family: Bacterial small subunit ribosomal RNA
Source: RNAcentral
UACGUAGGGGGCAAGCGUUAUCCGGAUUCACUGGGCAUAAAGGGAGCGCAGGCGGCACGGCAAGUCUGGUGUGAAAACCCGGGGCUCAACCCCGGGACUGCAUUGGAAACUGCCGGGCUGGAGUGUCGGAGGGGUAAGCGGAAUUCCUAGUGUAGCGGUGAAAUGCGUAGAUAUUAGGAGGAACACCAGUGGCGAAGGCGGCUUACUGGACGAUGACUGACGCUGAGGCUCGAAAGCGUGGGGAGCAAACAGG